UCUGCGUUUCUCGACGGUUAAC
Molecule: non-coding RNA, 22 nt
Filed under: Arabidopsis thaliana (thale cress)
Lineage: Eukaryota; Viridiplantae; Streptophyta; Magnoliopsida; Brassicales; Brassicaceae
Source: RNAcentral